CGCAUGAGUUCUGUCGGUGCAUGUUGAAGAAUUGCUUAGAAGUCCUCACCUCAUAUUUUGUCACCCUCUGAAUAGCAGUCAGAUUUGCAGGGAGGACUGAUCGCAAGGUUAUUUUUUCACUCUUGUAAUAACUCUGAACAGUCACUAAAUGAGGACUACCUGUUGGACAGUGACAGCAGAAGAAGUGACUUUACCAGAAGUCCCCAUUCAUUCUCAAACUGCUUUUGUGGGACUGAGAAACAGAAACAGCAGGGGCAUGAAAUUACCUCUGUAUUUUGUUCUAAAAUUGUGUGAAUGGAAAUGCCUUUGGUAUAUUUUGUAAAGUCCAGCAGGGUUCAAAAUCUGCAAGAUGACAGCACCUUUGGACUUUGAUUUUGAAGCCACACCUGCCAUGUUGCAGAUUUGCAAAUUACACUCCUGUUUGCAAAUAAAUAUUAUCUAAGCCAGUGGGUCUUAAACGUUUUGCUGUCAGCACCUCUUCCAACUUUAAAAAUGGUGGAGGACCCACAAAGCUUUGGUUUAUGUGGUUUAUAUCUAUUGAUAAGUACUGUAUUAGAAAUUAAAUCUGAGAAGUGUUAAAAUAUUUAUUCCUUAGACUUUGCAGAUCUCCUGAAAGGAUCUCAGGUGUUCCCAGACCACACUUUGAGAAUCACUGAUAUAGGCUUAUUAUGUUGUUAAUGAUUAAAAUUAAACUUUAUUGGCAAUGUACGUGUCAGGUUUCGAGGUCGUCUCAAAUAAAUUGCAUUUCAAACAAAGUCUUUGAUGAAAAACUCCCAUUUAUUAAGCACAACAUUCUAACUCCGACUCCAUCGUAGCCAACACUGACUUCCAGACCCAAAACCCUCCCUUUCCGUUUCCCACUCCUCUGCACUCAUUGGCCAUCUUCCAAGUCACUCUACCCCUAAUCUACUGCUCCAGCUCAAAGGAAUUUCCCCCCUCCCAUCCCAUCUCCUAGGGGAUAUUAUCUCCAGGGAAAAUAAGUAGGUGAAAAGUCAAACGUCCCUUUCCAGAUGCCUCCGCUUCUCCUUCUUAUGUCAGCACUAGAGUAAAUGCAGCUUGAAGUGCUGACAGUACAAUUACUGGUUAUAAUCCUUUAAUAAAGGGUGAUGAAUGAUGAUUUUGAAUAUAUGUUUCAGAACUGAGAAUUUACAGAGGACAGUUUGAAGCAUCUUGCUUUACUAAGUCUCCAUCCCCACUUUCAAACUAAUUGCUGUAGCAUCUAUUCCUACUGCUGUUGGUUCCUUAGCUCUAUUUCAGCAAGAUGUACAAAAUCCUUCUUACUGAUGCUUUGACCUCUUUCUUGAGUCGUCUUUUAAGUUACCAGACUCUUCAAGGAACAGAACACAUUAGAAAGUCUUCCUGCCAAUGGCGGUAACCAUCGAGUCUUCUCCAGAUGGAGCUAGAUUGUCUCAUACUAACAUCUAUAAUGUCAACUCGAUAGUCACAGGAAAUUGUAGAAAAAAGAAAAUUAGAAAAAAAUGGAUAGGAUAAAAACUUCAUAAAGUUUGUAUGCAUAUAUAAUAGGGAGCAAAAAUACUUUUUUCUCAAUUAAGCUGGCUGGAAAAUGUAGGAUUCUUAAAAGAUUCCAUACCCAAAUAAGUCAAAUGCAACAUAUUCAAUUUUUCAUGAAUUGCUCAUAUUUGCAUAUACAAAUGUGUGCAUAUGCAAAUUUGCAUGUACAAAUGUGCCUUCUUUUGGACUCUUCUUGAAAGACUGUAUAGUAAAUAUUUCUUCACUGCCACCGUGAAGUAGGGGGACAUGAAAGGAGACUCCUCGAAGGUUGCAUUACAGAUAGCCUUCAAACUACACAACCACAAUUUAGCCCAAAAUUUCUAUUGCUAAGUGAGGCUGUUGUUAAAUGAGUUUUGCCCCAUUUCACAACCUUUCCUGCCACAGUUGUUAAGUGAAUCACUGCAGUUGUUAAGUUAGUAACUUGGUUGUUAGGUGAAUCUGGCUUCCUCAUUGACUUUGCUUGUCAGAAGGUGGCAAAAGGACCUUAGGACACAGCAACGGUCAUAAAUAUGAGUCAGUUGCCAAGCGUCUGAAUUUUGAUCACGUGACCAUGGGGAUGCUGCAAUGUUUAUAAGUGUGAAAAAUGGUCAUAAGUCACUUUUUUCAGUGUUGUUGUGUGGGAAAGGAGAAAGGAGUUUUGCUUUUACAGAAAUUGUAGAACAGGGGUGUCAAACUUGUGACGACAUGAAAAUCAAGGUGUUGGUCAUUACCUUUAAAGCCCUACAUGGUUCAGGGCCAGGCUAUCUUCAAGAUUGCCUUCUACUACAUAGCUCCCAGCGACCGGUAAGAUCCCACAGAGUCGAUCUCCUCCGGGUCCUGUCAGCUAAACAAUGCCGGCUGGCGGGCCCGUGGGGGAGGGCCUUCUCUGUGGCUGCUCCGGCUCUCUGGAACCAAUUACGUCCUGAGGUCCGGACUGCCCCCAUCCUAUUGGCCUUCCGCA
Molecule: long non-coding RNA, 2452 nt
Organism: Pantherophis guttatus
Lineage: Eukaryota; Metazoa; Chordata; Lepidosauria; Squamata; Colubridae
Source: RefSeq, a predicted model, not a curated record